This 896-nucleotide long non-coding RNA is filed under the name Brachypodium distachyon (stiff brome). RNAcentral describes it as "long non-coding RNA (BDIS_LNC001179)". The record is from RNAcentral. Lineage: Eukaryota; Viridiplantae; Streptophyta; Magnoliopsida; Poales; Poaceae.
CCCAUGAGGAUGUUAACAUGAAAAGGGGUUUAAUGCAGUAAAUGUGCUACCCCAUAAUUUGGUGUUCGAUUUUGGAUUUGAAUCGCUAAAAUAUUUUAUUAACUAUAAAGCCCUAAAGGCUAGUUUAUAGGCAAAUAUUUUGAAGGAAUUCUUGUCCCAAGAGUUGAAUCAUAUGAAGAUAUGAUUUUACAAAUUUCGUUGCAUUUUAUUUGACUCGAUUUGGAGCUCUAAAUCAAAAGUUGUAUUCAAAAAAAAGAAAAAUAGAAAAGAAAAAAAGAACAAAAAAAAGAGAAGAAACGGCCGGCCUGGCCAAAGGGGCCGAACCGGCCCGUUCACUUCGCGCCGAGCCAGGCCGUAGCCCAGCACGCGCCGCCCGAGCUGCCCGAGCCACUGCCAUGCGGGCCCCGCCCGUCAGCUUCACCUUCAACCUCCAACCGCCAGGCCGAUUCUUCCGGCCACGAACCGAGCACGCACGCCACGGCCACCUCCCCGAUUUCUCCGCACCACGACCCCCUUUACCGAAACCGAGCGCGUCACUUUAUAGGCCCCGAGUUCCUCUUCUUUUCCCCCUCCUCUCCCACUCGAUUCGCCCCCAGGCUGCCCGAAUCUAGCCGCCGCCCAUAGCCACUGCCGCCGCCGAGAUUCGCUCGCCUCUGGUGACCAAAAGGUCUGAAGCCGCCGCCACCCCCCUUUUCCUUCUCCCCUCCUCUUUACGAAGCUUUUGACGCGGUUACCUUUUAUUUUUGGAGCACCGAAGCCGUCGCCACCAACGUCGCCGGAGCCCGGAGCCGCCACCGCCUUCCCGAGCGCCUAGGGCUCGUUCCCGGCCACCCCGAGGAGAACCGCGGCCUCCAUCAUCUUCGCCUCACCGAGCCGCGCCUCCCCCUCUCUUCCCC